AUUGAACGCUGGCGGCAGGCCUAACACAUGCAAGUCGAGCGGAUGAAGGGAGCUUGCUCCUGGAUUCAGCGGCGGACGGGUGAGUAAUGCCUAGGAAUCUGCCUGGUAGUGGGGGAUAACGUCCGGAAACGGGCGCUAAUACCGCAUACGUCCUGAGGGAGAAAGUGGGGGAUCUUCGGACCUCACGCUAUCAGAUGAGCCUAGGUCGGAUUAGCUAGUUGGUGGGGUAAAGGCCUACCAAGGCGACGAUCCGUAACUGGUCUGAAAGGAUGAUCAGUCACACUGGAACUGAGACACGGUCCAGACUCCUACGGGAGGCAGCAGUGGGGAAUAUUGGACAAUGGGCGAAAGCCUGAUCCAGCCAUGCCGCGUGUGUGAAGAAGGUCUUCGGAUUGUAAAGCACUUUAAGUUGGAAGGAAGGGCAGUAAGUUAAUACCUUGCUGUUUUGACGUUACCAACAGAAUAAGCACCGGCUAACUUCGUG
This 484-nucleotide ribosomal RNA is filed under the name uncultured bacterium. RNAcentral's name for it is "partial 16S ribosomal RNA". It matches the Rfam family "Bacterial small subunit ribosomal RNA", at positions 30 to 507 of the family's 1533-position model. The record is from RNAcentral.